AUGAGCCAUGCUGUCGCCGGCCUUCGAGAAGGUCCACACACACACACACACACCCUGCUUGGCGAUCCCCCUAACGCCGAGGGCAGCAAAAGAAAAGCCGGGGGGGGGCGCGCAACAACCGCCAACCGCCGCCCUAAAACAAUACAGGCAGCGACCAGUCCUAUAUUCCAAACAGGGUUCGGGAAAGGCUGGAAGGAGGCGGCAGAGCAACUGACACAUUUAGAAAACUCCUGGCAAGUGACUCCUAAUCCGAUCACCAGAAGAUUGAGGCUCCAGCUUAGCAUGUUGACAUCAGGGACACAUUUGCCAAGCGAUUUACAUGCAGCUGCCCAUGCUAGCUUUCAUGCACCAGCGCAGAAAAUUGCCACUGACAGCUACUCCUGUGGCUUUUAAAAUGCCAUCAGUCUGCUAUGACCAUUUGUGUAUGAUCUGAGAAGAAAGACUUGUCUAGGAAGAUACUAUAGUACAGUGUUGAAAUACAUGAUUCAUAUACAGAAGGUCCAGUUUUAUCUUUGAGAUAUCCAUUCAGAAUACUGUACUGAGUUUCCAUGUGACAUGAAAGGCCUCUGCUCAAGACCCUGGAUAGCAUUUGGCAAUGAAAAUAGCCAAUAUUAAACUAGAUGAACAGUGUGACUAGAUACAGGACAGUGCUGCUUAGUUUUCGUCACAACUACACAAAAUAGAAAGCUACGUGUAUUUAGCAACAGAGUGUGGCAGGAGAAGAAUUCUACCACUGACCUCUACAACAGUCACUAUUACUAUAAUUCAACAUGGCCCAGGUGUAGUGCUUCGUAAUUUGUGGCCUGAGGUACAAUUGAACUCAGCCCUGACAUAAGCUCCAAACCUUUUUACCUUGAAACCCUUGUACACCAAUCUCAUGUAUGAUAUUGUUGUGCCUCAAAUAUGAAAUUCAUUCUGCACGUGCACAAAGGCACUCUCUUCAUUAGACUUCAUACGUUUCACAGGUUUAUUGGUACUGGCAAGUUCUGUUACAAAUAAAGACAUUUGUUUGAGCCUGCCA
This 1021-nucleotide long non-coding RNA is filed under the name Pogona vitticeps (central bearded dragon). RNAcentral's name for it is "lncRNA (ENSPVIG00000016473.1)". The record is from RNAcentral. Lineage: Eukaryota; Metazoa; Chordata; Lepidosauria; Squamata; Agamidae.